Small nuclear RNA from Peromyscus maniculatus bairdii (prairie deer mouse), 107 nucleotides. NCBI's taxonomy places the organism in Eukaryota, Metazoa, Chordata, Mammalia, Rodentia, Cricetidae. The record is from Ensembl.
GUGCUCACGUUGGUAGCACAUACGCUAAAACUGGAACCAUACAGAGAAGAUUAGCAUGGCCGCUGUGCAAGGAUGACCCAAAAAUUCACGAAGAAGCAUUUCUUUCU